UACGUAGGGUGCAAGCGUUAAUCGGAAUUACUGGGCGUAAAGCGUGCGCAGGCGGCUUUGCAAGACAGAUGUGAAAUCCCCGGGCUUAACCUGGGAACUGCAUUUGUGACUGCAUGGCUGGAGUGCGGCAGAGGGGGUGGAAUUCCACGUGUAGCAGUGAAAUGCGUAGAGAUGUGGAGGAACACCGAUGGCGAAGGCAGCCCCCUGGGCUAACACUGACGCUCAGGCACGAAAGCGUGGGGAGCAAACAGG
This 252-nucleotide ribosomal RNA is filed under the name uncultured bacterium. Its description in RNAcentral is "partial 16S ribosomal RNA". It matches the Rfam family "Bacterial small subunit ribosomal RNA", at positions 524 to 776 of the family's 1533-position model. The record is from RNAcentral.